AGUGUGCUUCCACGAGGCCGUUGACUGAUAUUAUCAUAGGGAGGACACUGAUUUUCUUUAGGUUAUACAGUUCUUUCAGCUGAAAUGCCAGGUCGCCAUAUUUGGUUAUUUUUUCCGUGUAGGCUUUCGAAACGUUAUCAUCUGCCGGGACAGUGAAUUCUACGAGCAUGCACGUUUUUUCCUCAGUGUCGAAGAGCGCCAUAUCGGGUCUGUUAUGCAUCACAUUUCUAUCUGUGACUAGGGUGGAGUCCCAAUAGAGCUUGUACCGUGCAUUCUGUAGUAGGGUUUUCGGAGCAUACAGAUGACUUUGAAGUUCCUCUUGAAGCAGACCAAGUUUUAGCGCAGUUUGUUGAUGGUAAAUCUUCGCCAUGGAGUUAUGUCUCUCGAGGUGCCUGGAAACACUUUCGACAACGAUCGGAUGGUAUGUCAAGUUUGGCAACAUUUUUCUGGUACAUUCUGGUGGCCACAACUUGGUCUUGUAUAGCUAAAAGUCGACCCUCCGUCUCUGGAAAGAGACAGCCGGGGUACCUUCCGUGUAGGGCUUUAGAGUUCCAUUCCUCAACAAGUUCUUCUAUUGUGCGAACAGUCUGUUGGAGAGCUGGGUUCGACAGUUUCAAAGCCGAGAUAUCCUGAUCCGCUUCACGAAUCGCCUGAAAGAAAGGUGAAUUUUUCUUCAGAAAGUAAUUCCGCAUUGUGGUGAUAUUUUCUUGGUGGAUUUUCUCCAAGUUGAGUAGGCCUCUACCUCCCAGGUGACGUGGUAGGUAUAAUCUCACUGUCGAUGAAUGUGGAUGGUGGACCCCAUAUUUCGUGAGCAAGGAUCUCAGUGCUCGGUCCAUUUCCCGAAGGUCGGUUGUCGACCAAGUCAGAAUACCAA
This is a long non-coding RNA of Harmonia axyridis, 874 nucleotides long. RefSeq lists it as uncharacterized. The transcript is spliced from 3 exons. Lineage: Eukaryota; Metazoa; Arthropoda; Insecta; Coleoptera; Coccinellidae. The record is from RefSeq and is a predicted model, not a curated record.